This 138-nucleotide ribosomal RNA is filed under the name uncultured bacterium. Its description in RNAcentral is "partial 16S ribosomal RNA". It matches the Rfam family "Bacterial small subunit ribosomal RNA", at positions 356 to 509 of the family's 1533-position model. The record is from RNAcentral.
AGGGAAUAUUGCACAAUGGGGGGCAACCCUGAUGCAGCGACGCCGCGUGGGUGAUGACGGCCUUCGGGUUGUAAAGCCCUUUUGCCACUGAUGAGGAAGGACAGUAGGUGGCGAAUAAGCCUCGGCUAACUACGUGCC